UGCAGAGUAGUUUAUUUAAAAUUCUUAUUUUACACGUAAGGGAAUCCUCUUGUUUGGACUUUGUGA
Molecule: transfer RNA, 66 nt
Filed under: Anthocephalum cf. caira DJM-2021
Lineage: Eukaryota; Metazoa; Platyhelminthes; Cestoda; Rhinebothriidea; Anthocephaliidae
Description: tRNA-Val
Source: RNAcentral